AGAGCCAUCGUGGCAGCCCUGGGCCUCCAUUUCAGACGUUCAUCUUGCCUAAGCCACCACCAUCAGGGUCUCAGUCAGUCAUCAUUCUCAUUUACUCGGGUGGCUGGGUGAGGGCGGAAUACUACCUUCCAGCUGUCUGAGAUUAAGCCUAAGCCACCACCAUCAGGGUCUCAGUCAGUCAUCAUUCUCAUUUACUCGGGUGGCUGGGCGAGGGCGGAAUACUACCUUCCAGCUGUCUGAGAUUAAGCAGAACAGCAGCUAAAGCAGUAACAGCAGGUCUCCUUCAGCAGCUUGCCACAGGGAAGAGGGUCCCGCGUGAACCGAACUCAACUUCCACCUGCGCAGAGGUAGCUACCAUUUGCGUAGAGGUAGCUGGGUCUUUAAGGCUGGAGUAUAGUGGCAUGAUCAUAGAUCACUGCAGCCUCAAACUCCUGGGCUCAAGCGAUCCUCCCACCUCAGCCUCCAUAUAGCUGGUGGGGACCAAGUUUCUAACACAUGAAUGUUGGGAGACACAUUCAGACCAUCGCAGUGGCCUUAUAAAAAGAGACACAAGAGCUUGCUCUCUGCCAUGUGAGAAUACCACAAGAAGACUGUCCUCAGCAAAUCAGAAAGCGGGUGGACCCUCAUCAGACACCAGAUGUGCCUGCACCUUGAUCUUGGACUUGCCAGCCUUCAGAACAGUAAGAAAGAAAUGUGUGUUGUUUAAGCCACCCAGUCUAUGGUAACUUGCUAUAGCAGCCCACUAGGAGACCCCAAGAUAUUUAAAAACUCAUCAGCACCUGCUUUCUGCAUCUGGACCCUGAUCUUCUGGUGGGUUUACCAGUUACUUGUAGAGUGUCCCUGUGAUAGUUUUAGGUGUCAACUUGACAGGAUUGAGGGAUGCCUAGAUGGCUGGGGAAGCACUGUUUCUGAGAAGGACCAUGUUUUUGGAGGAGACUGUUUUAUGAGUGAAUUUCAGGGGACACAUUCAGAUCAUGGCAGUGGCAUUAUAAAGAGAGACACAAAAGCUUGCUCUCUCUCUCUGCCAUGUAAGACUACCACACAAAGACUGCCAUCUGCAAACCAGAAGCAGGUGGGCUUUCCUCAGACACCAGAUCUGCCUGCACCUUGAUCUUGGACUUGCCAGCCUUCAGAACUCUAAGAAAGAAAUGGUAGCAUGGCUUGGUCUAAGUUGGAAGGCCUGAGAAACAAGCACAUGGUGGAACUGAGUUCAAGGAUAAAGACUUGAGAAUACCUGCUCAGUGGACUGAGUAGGGAAGAUCAACCCUCAAUGUAGGCAGGCACUAUCCAAUCACCUGAGGGCCCAGAUGGAACAAAAAGGUGGAAGAAGGGUGAAUUCUCUCUUCCAGAGCUGUGACACCCUUCUCAUGCCCUUGUACCACACAACUCUAGGUCCUUUGGCCUUUGGACUCUGACACUUGCACCAGUGGCCCUCUGGGGCUCUCAAGCCUUUAGCCUUGAACUUAGUUACACCAUGUGCCUCCUUGUUUCUCAGGCCUUCCAACUUGGAUCAGGCCAUGCCACCGGCUUCUCUGAUUCUCCAGCUUGCAGAUGGUAUAUUGUGACCCUGGCAUUUAAUAACUAUGACUUUGGUCUUAAGCAAUUUUCUUCCUCUGUGGAUUGAUAUUUACAUAUCAAUGUGGAUAAUAAUUUCUUACCACGGUAACUGUUGUGAGGUAAAAAUGAGUUAACAUAAGUAAAACCGAGCACAUGCAAACCAUCCGAAAUGGUUAAUACUUACUAUUUGUACUUGAAGAAAUAAAUGUUUUUGACAAUAAA
Molecule: long non-coding RNA, 1779 nt
Filed under: Homo sapiens (human)
Lineage: Eukaryota; Metazoa; Chordata; Mammalia; Primates; Hominidae
Description: long intergenic non-protein coding RNA 847
Source: RNAcentral